UACUGACUAGGAUAUACAUACGGGGUCAAGCGUCAACUAAAGCGAUUGAAAACAAAAUAAUUUCUUACACUAAUUGCAAAAGUGCUAAAGCUAAAGGUAGUAGAGUUGGACCUAUGUACAAUGAUGCCUACAGGCUACAGGUCCAAAAGAAAAACUAAUAUCUUGCUUUUUUUUAAUAAAACCGUGAGCCAAAUCUCCCGGAAAUAUAUUAAGAACUGAAAGGGGACAAGAGAUUAGCAAGAGGCUAAUCACAACUCAAAC
This 261-nucleotide long non-coding RNA is filed under the name Sorghum bicolor (sorghum). RNAcentral's name for it is "long non-coding RNA (SBIC_LNC011810)". Lineage: Eukaryota; Viridiplantae; Streptophyta; Magnoliopsida; Poales; Poaceae. The record is from RNAcentral.